Molecule: ribosomal RNA, 253 nt
Filed under: uncultured bacterium
Lineage: Bacteria
Description: partial 16S ribosomal RNA
Rfam family: Bacterial small subunit ribosomal RNA
Source: RNAcentral
UACGUAGGGUGCAAGCGUUGUCCGGAAUUAUUGGGCGUAAAGCGCGCGCAGGUGGUUCCUUAAGUCUGAUGUGAAAGCCCACGGCUCAACCGUGGAGGGUCAUUGGAAACUGGGGAACUUGAGUGCAGAAGAGGAAAGUGGAAUUCCAAGUGUAGCGGUGAAAUGCGUAGAGAUUUGGAGGAACACCAGUGGCGAAGGCGACUUUCUGGUCUGUAACUGACACUGAGGCGCGAAAGCGUGGGGAGCAAACAGG